UUAAGUCCCGCAACGAGCGCAACCCUAUUGUUAGUUGCCAUCAUUCAGUUGGGCACUCUAGCGAGACUGCCGGUAAUAACCGGAGGAAGUGGGAUGACGUCAAAUCAUCAUGCCCCUUAUGACCUGGGCUACACACGUGCUACAAUGGUUGGUACAACGAGUUGCGAGUCGGUGACGGCGAGCUAAUCUCUUAAAGCCAAUCUCAGUUCGGAUUGUAGGCUGCAACUCGCCUACAUGAAGUCGGAAUCGCUAGUAAUCGCGGAUCAGCACGCCGCGGUGAAUACGUUCCCGGGCCUU
This 297-nucleotide ribosomal RNA is filed under the name uncultured Streptococcus sp. RNAcentral describes it as "partial 16S ribosomal RNA". It matches the Rfam family "Bacterial small subunit ribosomal RNA", at positions 1080 to 1382 of the family's 1533-position model. The record is from RNAcentral. Lineage: Bacteria; Bacillati; Bacillota; Bacilli; Lactobacillales; Streptococcaceae.